UACGAACCGUCCAAACGUUAUUCGGAUUUAUUGGGCUUAAAGGGUAUGUAGGCGGCGCUUCAAGUCGGGUGUGAAAUCCCUCGGCUCAACCGAGGAACUGCGCCCGAUACUGUGGUGCUUGAGGGAGACAGAGGUAAGCGGAACUGAUGGUGGAGCGGUGAAAUGCGUUGAUAUCAUCAGGAACACCAGUGGCGAAAGCGGCUUACUGGGUCUCUUCUGACGCUGAGAUACGAAAGCUAGGGGAGCGAACGGG
This 253-nucleotide ribosomal RNA is filed under the name uncultured bacterium. RNAcentral describes it as "partial 16S ribosomal RNA". It matches the Rfam family "Bacterial small subunit ribosomal RNA", at positions 524 to 776 of the family's 1533-position model. The record is from RNAcentral.